AUUUGCCUAAUGCAUACACUGUAAGAGACAGUUAUUUUUCAGUUAUAUUUUUAUAUUUAUUUGUGUAGAUGAUGAUAAAGCCAAAUAUAUGAAAUCUUCUCCACUUCUUACUCUUCUGAAAGAUGUGAAUGACCAGCUCCAAGUUCAUGCGAUGGCAUUUGGGCUUCUGGAAAGCCAUCUGCAGGAAAAAGACACAGGAAGUCCUUUUCAGGAUAUAUUGGAUGCUUUGAUGACUCAUAAAGGUGAACUAAUACCAGUUCAUCCUCCAACACUUUCUGCAAGGGAGUUUGUAAUAUACCAAUAUGGCAUCUCCAUUCUUCAGUUUCUCAGGCCUCAUAUCAAUGCUCCAGAAAUUAACCUGUGUGUUGCCUCCAGCAUACCUCUCAGUAACACCACAGGCAAUGCCUUCCAAAACUCUUUCUUUUAUCAGAUUUCAGAGAAAAAAUUAUUCAUUUUAAGAGAGUAUCUGGGUUGUGUGGGCAGCUUCAUUCUGCUGCUGGUGCACUGUCUGGCUCACAUCACUGCUGCUGACCUCAGCCAUGACUCUAGCCCCACCUUUCAGAGACUGUUUUAUCAGGUAUAAUGAUAUACUAUAUAUCCAGUUACAUUAAGGCACUAACUCUUUGCAAAGAUUUACCUUAUUAA
Molecule: long non-coding RNA, 645 nt
Filed under: Gopherus agassizii (Agassiz's desert tortoise)
Lineage: Eukaryota; Metazoa; Chordata; Testudines; Testudinidae
Description: lncRNA (ENSGAGG00000009594.1)
Source: RNAcentral